UACGGGGGGGGCAAGCGUUGUUCGGAAUUACCGGGCGUAAAGGGCUCGUAGGCGGCCAACUAAGUCAGACGUGAAAUCCCUCGGCUUAACCGGGGAACUGCGUCUGAUACUGGAUGGCUUGAGAUUGGGAGAGGGAUGCGGAAUUCCAGGUGUAGCGGUGAAAUGCGUAGAUAUCUGGAGGAACACCGGUGGCGAAGGCGGCAUCCUGGGCCAACACUGACGCUGAGUGAGCGAAAGCCAGGGGAGCAAACGGG
RNAcentral lists this ribosomal RNA (254 nucleotides) under uncultured bacterium. RNAcentral describes it as "partial 16S ribosomal RNA". It matches the Rfam family "Bacterial small subunit ribosomal RNA", at positions 524 to 776 of the family's 1533-position model. The record is from RNAcentral.